GAUGAAGAACGUAGCGAAAUGCGAUAAGUGAUGUGAAUUGCAGAAUUCAGUGAAUCAUCGAAUCUUUGAACGCACCUUGCGCUCCUUGGUAUUCCGAGGAGCAUGCCUGUUUGAGUGUCAUUAAAUUCUCAACCAUUAUCAACUUUUGCUGAUAAUGGCUUGGAUGUGGGGGUCUAUUUUGCUGGCUUCUCAGAUAGUCAGCUCCCCUUAAAUGCAUUAGCCGGUGCCCCGCGUGGACUGUCUAUUGGUGUGAUAAUUAUCUACGCUAUAGACAUCUGCAAUCAUAUGGGUUUGCGCUGCUUCUAACAGUCUGUUGAUUCAGACAAUACAUGACAAUUUGACCUCAAAUCAGGUAGGACUACCCGCUGAACUUAAGCAUAUCAAUAAGCGGAGGA
This 395-nucleotide unclassified non-coding RNA is filed under the name soil metagenome. RNAcentral describes it as "partial contains 5.8S ribosomal RNA, internal transcribed spacer 2, and large subunit ribosomal RNA". The stretch from base 1 to 120 matches the Rfam family "5.8S ribosomal RNA", at positions 35 to 154 of the family's 154-position model. The record is from RNAcentral.